Molecule: ribosomal RNA, 492 nt
Filed under: uncultured bacterium
Lineage: Bacteria
Description: partial 16S ribosomal RNA
Rfam family: Bacterial small subunit ribosomal RNA
Source: RNAcentral
AGUGAACGCUGGCGGUAGGCCUAACACAUGCAAGUCGAACGGCAGCACAGUAAGAGCUUGCUCUUACGGGUGGCGAGUGGCGGACGGGUGAGGAAUACAUCGGAAUCUACUUUUUCGUGGGGGAUAACGUAGGGAAACUUACGCUAAUACCGCAUACGACCUACGGGUGAAAGCAGGGGAUCUUCGGACCUUGCGCGAUUGAAUGAGCCGAUGUCGGAUUAGCUAGUUGGCGGGGUAAAGGCCCACCAAGGCGACGAUCCGUAGCUGGUCUGAGAGGAUGAUCAGCCACACUGGAACUGAGACACGGUCCAGACUCCUACGGGAGGCAGCAGUGGGGAAUAUUGGGCAAUGGGCGCAAGCCUGAUCCAGCCAUACCGCGUGGGUGAAGAAGGCCUUCGGGUUGUAAAGCCCUUUUGUUGGGAAAGAAAGGCAGCAGGUUAAUACCCCGCCGUUCUGACGGUACCCAAAGAAUAAGCACCGGCUAACUUCGUG